GACGAACUGCCCAAACGUUGUUCGGAAUCACUGGGCUUAAAGGGCGCGUAGGCGGCAGAUCAAGUCAGGGGUGAAAUCCGGCAGCUCAACCGUCGAAGUGCCUUUGAUACUGAUUUGCUCGAGGGAUAUAGGGGUCUGUGGAACUUCUGGUGGAGCGGUGAAAUGCGUUGAUAUCAGAAGGAACGCCGGUGGCGAAAGCGGCGGACUGGAUAUCUUCUGACGCUGAGGCGCGAAAGCUAGGGGAGCAAACGGG
This 253-nucleotide ribosomal RNA is filed under the name uncultured bacterium. RNAcentral describes it as "partial 16S ribosomal RNA". It matches the Rfam family "Bacterial small subunit ribosomal RNA", at positions 524 to 776 of the family's 1533-position model. The record is from RNAcentral.